GUGUCAGCCGCCGCGGUAAUACAGAGGGUGCGAGCGUUGUCCGGAAUCACUGGGCGUAAAGGGCGCGUAGGCGGCCCGAUAAGUAGGGGGUGAAAUCUUGCGGCUCAACCGCAAGGCUGCCUUCUAAACUGUCGGGCUGGAGCACGGUAGAGGCAGAUGGAAUUCCCGGUGUAGCGGUGGAAUGCGUAGAGAUCGGGAAGAACACCAGUGGCGAAGGCGGUCUGCUGGGCCGUUGCUGACGCUGAGGCGCGACAGCGUGGGGAGCAAACAGGAUUAGAUACCCUGGUAGUCCACGCCGUAAACGAUGGGCACUAGGCGUCGGGGGGAGCGACCCUCCCGGUGCCGUCGCUAACGCAGUAAGUGCCCCGCCUGGGGAGUACGGCCGCAAGGCUGAA
Molecule: ribosomal RNA, 395 nt
Filed under: uncultured bacterium
Lineage: Bacteria
Description: bacterial SSU rRNA
Rfam family: Bacterial small subunit ribosomal RNA
Source: RNAcentral